This 948-nucleotide ribosomal RNA is filed under the name uncultured Bacillaceae bacterium. Its description in RNAcentral is "bacterial SSU rRNA". It matches the Rfam family "Bacterial small subunit ribosomal RNA", at positions 8 to 916 of the family's 1533-position model. Lineage: Bacteria; Bacillati; Bacillota; Bacilli; Caryophanales; Bacillaceae. The record is from RNAcentral.
AGAGUUUGAUCAUGGCUCAGGACGAACGCUGGCGGCGUGCCUAAUACAUGCAAGUCGAGCGCGGGAAGCGGACUCGUCACCCUUCGGGGUGUCUAGUCCGUGGAACGAGCGGCGGAUGGGUGAGUAUCACGUGGGCAACCUGCCUGUAAGAUUGGGAUAACUCGCGGAAACGUGAGCUAAUACCGAAUGAAGUCUUUCACCGCCUGGUGAAAGGAUGAAAGAUGGCUUUUAGCUAUCACUUACAGAUGGGCCCGCGGCGCAUUAGCUAGUUGGUGGGGUAAAGGCCUACCAAGGCGACGAUGCGUAGCCGACCUGAGAGGGUGAUCGGCCACACUGGGACUGAGACACGGCCCAGACUCCUACGGGAGGCAGCAGUAGGGAAUCUUCCGCAAUGGACGAAAGUCUGACGGAGCAACGCCGCGUGAGUGAUGAAGGUCUUCGGAUCGUAAAACUCUGUUGUCAGGGAAGAACAAGUUGUGUUCUAACAGGACAUGACCUUGACGGUACCUGACCAGAAAGCCCCGGCUAACUACGUGCCAGCAGCCGCGGUAAUACGUAGGGGGCAAGCGUUGUCCGGAAUUAUUGGGCGUAAAGCGCGCGCAGGCGGUCCUUUAAGUCUGAUGUGAAAGCCCACGGCUUAACCGUGGAGGGUCAUUGGAAACUGAGGGACUUGAGUACAGAAGAGGAGAGUGGAAUUCCACGUGUAGCGGUGAAAUGCGUAGAGAUGUGGAGGAACACCAGUGGCGAAGGCGACUCUCUGGUCUGUAACUGACGCUGAGGUGCGAAAGCGUGGGUAGCAAACAGGGAUUAGAUACCCUGGUAGUCCACGCCGUAAACGAUGAGUGCUAGGUGUCAGGGGGUUUCCGCCCCUUGGUGCUGGAGUUAACGCAUUAAGCACUCCGCCGGGGGGAGUACGGCCGCAAGGCUGAAACUCAAAGGAAUUGACGG